This 170-nucleotide non-coding RNA is filed under the name uncultured Lachnoclostridium sp. RNAcentral's name for it is "Lysine riboswitch". It matches the Rfam family "Lysine riboswitch aptamer". From Rfam's summary of the family: Riboswitches are metabolite binding domains within certain messenger RNAs that serve as precision sensors for their corresponding targets. Allosteric rearrangement of mRNA structure is mediated by ligand binding, and this results in modulation of gene expression. Lineage: Bacteria; Bacillati; Bacillota; Clostridia; Lachnospirales; Lachnospiraceae. The record is from RNAcentral.
UUGGUAGAGGCGCAUUGAUUAAGAGUAGGCUGUAUGAUAUGGCAGGCAUAGUGGAUUACAGCCAAAAGGAUGAGAUGCCGAAGUGUGCAUUCCCCUGCUGAAUGUAGUGCUGGGAAUAUGGUGAAUAAUCAUAUUACUGUCAUCAAUAUUAUGAUGGAGAGCUACCGAAU